Molecule: ribosomal RNA, 465 nt
Filed under: uncultured bacterium
Lineage: Bacteria
Description: partial 16S ribosomal RNA
Rfam family: Bacterial small subunit ribosomal RNA
Source: RNAcentral
GACGAACGCUGGCGGCGUGCUUAACACAUGCAAGUCGAACGGAAAGGCCCCUUUGGGGGUACUCGAGUGGCGAACGGGUGAGUAACACGUGAGUAACCUGCCCUUGACUUCGGGAUAACUUCAGGAAACUGGGGCUAAUACCGGAUAGGAAUCCUUGCUGCAUGGUGGGGGUUGGAAAGCUUCGGCGGUUUUGGAUGGACUCGCGGCUUAUCAGCUUGUUGGUGGGGUAGUGGCUUACCAAGGCUUUGACGGGUAGCCGGCCUGGGAGGGCGAACGGCCACAUUGGGACCGAGAUACGGCCCAAGACCCUACGGGGGGCAGCAGUGGGGAAUAUUGCCCAAUGGGCGGAAGCCUGAUGCAGCAACGCCGCGGGCGGGAUGAAGGGCUUCGGGUUGUAAACCGCUUUCAGCAGGGGCGAAGCUUGUGGUGACGGUACCUGCAGAAGAAGCACCGGCUAACUACGUG